UGGGGAAUCUUGCACAAUGGGCGAAAGCCUGAUGCAGCAACGCCGCGUGCGGGAAGACAGCCCUAGGGUUGUAAACCGCUUUCAGCAGGGAAGAAACUGACGGUACCUGCAGAAGAAGAUGCGGCCAACUACGUGCCAGCAGCCGCGGUGACACGUAGGCAUCAAGCGUUAUCCGGAUUUAUUGGGCGUAAAGAGCUCGUAGGCGGUUCGGUAAGUCGGGUGUGAAAACUCUGGGCUCAACCCAGAGAGGCCACUCGAUACUGCUGUGACUAGAGUGCGGUAGGGGAGCGGGGAAUUCCUGGUGUAGCGGUGAAAUGCGCAGAUAUCAGGAGGAACACCAGUGGCGAAGGCGCCGCUCUGGGCCGUAACUGACGCUGAGGAGCGAAAGCAUGGGUAGCAAACAGGAUUAGAUACCCUGGUAGUCCACGCCGUAAACGAUGGGCACUAGGUG
Molecule: ribosomal RNA, 451 nt
Filed under: uncultured bacterium
Lineage: Bacteria
Description: bacterial SSU rRNA
Rfam family: Bacterial small subunit ribosomal RNA
Source: RNAcentral